Molecule: long non-coding RNA, 609 nt
Filed under: Sorghum bicolor (sorghum)
Lineage: Eukaryota; Viridiplantae; Streptophyta; Magnoliopsida; Poales; Poaceae
Description: long non-coding RNA (SBIC_LNC009539)
Source: RNAcentral
UCGAACAAGGCAAUAUGCAUACCAGAACACAAGUUCAACAAAUAUACCACCAGUACUGAUCUUUCCCACUUGCCACUUACUCAGCAAGACAAUGAGAACUGAGUACGCAGCAAUUUGCAUUGUCCUGGUGAUUAUGCCUUCAACCCUCUCAUCCAGCUAUAUUCCUAGUAAGUAUGUAAUUUCUUUUGUACUUACAAAAAUUGCACCCAUUCAUGGUUUAUAAAAUCAAGUUGUGGAUGCAUACAGUUGAGGCGUUUAUCCAUCUACCUGGAUGCACUCCGGAGCAUUGCCAAACAAAAUGCUUGGAGUUUGCCAAUAAGAAUGGCGGCAAAGUGGUAAAGAGCUCCCACUGUGCGACGGCAAAUUGUUGCAAUUGCAAGUUAGCUCCCAAACAGCAUCAGCCCCAUACCACAGAAGUCAAGGGAUUAGCUGAUGCAGAGGACGACAAUGGAACUUUUGUUUCAUAAUAUAUGACCCAACGAUGAAUAGGGUUGUUACAUGAAGGCAGACAAUAGCAUACUGCUAGUUCUUGCAUGUAAUUUAUCCAUGACCUAUUUCCUUCAAGGUCUAAUAAAAUAAUUGCACAUCAUGCAAAAUCGUUUGCUCAUG